CCCAGACUCCUACGGGAGGCAGCAGUGGGGAAUAUUGCACAAUGGGGGAAACCCUGAUGCAGCGACGCCGCGUGAGUGAAGAAGUAUUUCGGUAUGUAAAGCUCUAUCAGCAGGGAAGAAAAUGACGGUACCUGACUAAGAAGCCCCGGCUAACUACGUGCCAGCAGCCGCGGUAAUACGUAGGGGGCAAGCGUUAUCCGGAUUUACUGGGUGUAAAGGGAGCGUAGACGGCAUGGCAAGUCAGAUGUGAAAGCCCGGGGCUCAACCCCGGGACUGCAUUUGAAACUGUCAGGCUGGAGUGCAGGAGAGGUAAGUGGAAUUCCUAGUGUAGCGGUGAAAUGCGUAGAUAUUAGGAGGAACACCAGUGGCGAAGGCGGCUUGCUGGACUGUAACUGACGUUGAGGCUCGAAAGCGUGGGGAGCAAACAGGAUUAGAUACCCCUGUA
Molecule: ribosomal RNA, 445 nt
Filed under: uncultured bacterium
Lineage: Bacteria
Description: bacterial SSU rRNA
Rfam family: Bacterial small subunit ribosomal RNA
Source: RNAcentral